RNAcentral lists this ribosomal RNA (594 nucleotides) under uncultured fungus. RNAcentral's name for it is "eukaryotic LSU rRNA". It matches the Rfam family "Eukaryotic large subunit ribosomal RNA", at positions 40 to 647 of the family's 3401-position model. Lineage: Eukaryota; Fungi. The record is from RNAcentral.
AUAUCAAUAAGCGGAGGAAAAGAAACCAACAGGGAUUGCCUCAGUAACGGCGAGUGAAGCGGCAACAGCUCAAAUUUGAAAUCUGGAGCCUUCGGCUUCCGAGUUGUAAUUUGAAGAGGAUGUUUCGGUUGUGGCCUGGGCCUAAGUUCCUUGGAACAGGACGUCAUGGAGGGUGAGAAUCCCGUACACGGCUGCAGGCUUACUUCCAUGUGAAACUCCUUCGAAGAGUCGAGUUGUUUGGGAAUGCAGCUCAAAAUGGGUGGUAAAUUUCAUCUAAAGCUAAAUAUUGGCGGGAGACCGAUAGCGCACAAGUAGAGUGAUCGAAAGAUGAAAAGCACUUUGAAAAGAGAGUUAAACAGCACGUGAAAUUGUUGAAAGGGAAGCGCUUGCGAUCAGACUCGCUCUCGGUUGAUCAACGUUCCUUCUGGUGCGUGCACUCUGCCGUUGGCGGGCCAGCAUCGGUUGGGGCGGCGGGACAAAGGCAGCGGGAAUGUGGCUCCUCUCGGGGAGUGUUAUAGCCCGUUGUGUAAUGCCGCCAGCCCCGACCGAGGUCCGCGGUUCUGCCUAGGAUGCUGGCUUAAUGGUCGUAAGCGA